RNAcentral lists this long non-coding RNA (215 nucleotides) under Homo sapiens (human). RNAcentral's name for it is "HSALNT0127218". The record is from RNAcentral. Lineage: Eukaryota; Metazoa; Chordata; Mammalia; Primates; Hominidae.
AAAGAAAUCAAAGCCAUAGAGGCAGUGCUGAGAAUAAUGUGGGAAGGUUAAAGAGAGGCUGUGGCUAUGAUAAAGCGUAAGGGAUAAGACUGAGACCGAAUAUGGUGCCUCAGAUGGGCAAACAGUUAAUGACUAACAACAAUACCAAGAACUGAAAACACUGACAAGAAUUUACCUUUAGAUAGUUAAUAAACUGUAAAAGGGAUGUAUAAAAC